This is a long non-coding RNA of Culex quinquefasciatus (southern house mosquito), 325 nucleotides long. RefSeq lists it as uncharacterized. Lineage: Eukaryota; Metazoa; Arthropoda; Insecta; Diptera; Culicidae. The record is from RefSeq and is a predicted model, not a curated record. The transcript has 2 exons.
ACGCCGAUCCAUUUGUCGGGGACUUGAGGUACUUGCAGAAAUGACUACACUUCUCAGUUGGUUUUAGUUCCACAGUUGCAGCUCUCGGUUUGAUGUUGACAAAAGUCCAAGGUUCUGAAUCAAGCAAAGCCGGCGUGGGAUUGCAUGCUUCAGCUGGUCAUCCGUGACCGCCUUUCGCACAAGUUUGUAAUUGGAGCACCUGGAGUGCAAACAGAUCAUGAUGGACAUCCUCGCCCAAAUGGGGUACGCACAUCUGCAACAGGUGGACGUGUCGGCUGAAGGCUUUCGUAUCAACUUAAUUCCAACAUUGUUUUCAUAAAUGUAA